RNAcentral lists this ribosomal RNA (301 nucleotides) under uncultured bacterium. RNAcentral's name for it is "partial 16S ribosomal RNA". It matches the Rfam family "Bacterial small subunit ribosomal RNA", at positions 509 to 807 of the family's 1533-position model. The record is from RNAcentral.
CAGUAGCCGCGGGAAUACGGAGGGUGCAAGCGUUAAUCGGAAUUACUGGGCGUAAAGCGCACGCAGGCGGUUUGUUAAGUCAGAUGUGAAAUCCCCGAGCUUAACUUGGGAACUGCAUUUGAAACUGGCAAGCUAGAGUCUUGUAGAGGGGGGUAGAAUUCCAGGUGUAGCGGUGAAAUGCGUAGAGAUCUGGAGGAAUACCGGUGGCGAAGGCGGCCCCCUGGACAAAGACUGACGCUCAGGUGCGAAAGCGUGGGGAGCAAACAGGAUUAGAGACCCGCGUAGUCCCUGUCUCUUAUAC